UGGGGAAUAUUGCACAAUGGGCGCAAGCCUGAUGCAGCCAUGCCGCGUGUGUGAAGAAGGCCUUAGGGUUGUAAAGCACUUUCAGCGAGGAGGAAGGAUUGAGUGUUAAUAACACUCAAUAUUGACGUUACUCGCAGAAGAAGCACCGGCUAACUCCGUGCCAGCAGCCGCGGUAAUACGGAGGGUGCAAGCGUUAAUCGGAAUUACUGGGCGUAAAGCGCACGCAGGCGGUUUGACAAGUCAGAUGUGAAAUCCCCGAGCUUAACUUGGGAACUGCAUUUGAAACUGUCAGGCUAGAGUCUUGUAGAGGGGGGUAGAAUUCCAGGUGUAGCGGUGAAAUGCGUAGAGAUCUGGAGGAAUACCGGUGGCGAAGGCGGCCCCCUGGACAAAGACUGACGCUCAGGUGCGAAAGCGUGGGGAGCAAACAGG
Molecule: ribosomal RNA, 429 nt
Filed under: uncultured bacterium
Lineage: Bacteria
Description: bacterial SSU rRNA
Rfam family: Bacterial small subunit ribosomal RNA
Source: RNAcentral